This is a long non-coding RNA of Onychostoma macrolepis, 1038 nucleotides long. RefSeq lists it as uncharacterized. The record is from RefSeq and is a predicted model, not a curated record. The transcript has 2 exons. Lineage: Eukaryota; Metazoa; Chordata; Actinopteri; Cypriniformes; Cyprinidae.
CAAUAAGAAACAUGAAUAAAUGAGUAAAAGAAUGAAUAAAAGCAAGCAUCACAAUAAAUACAUACAAUAUACAAGUCAACAGCAGAUGAAACAAAGCUUCAUUCAAACUCAUUGUUCUAACAAUCAUGUAUUUACAGACGGUGAACCCCACAUCCUACUGCCAUCUCAACACAGAUGCGUCAAUUCUGCAGCUGCGCUGUGCUGUGCUUCACAAUCUUGCUCUUCUCAAUGAGGACAGCGUUGACCCAGAGGAUGAGGAGGAAGACCAUGAGCUACAUCGUUCCGGAAAAUCAAACAAAAAUAACAGAAAUGAAUGGGGAGAGGGUAGAUGUGAAGUGAGGCGAUGGGAGGGAUUUACAUGUUAAAACCUCUGAUUGGCUUUAAUGUGACCAAUGAAAUCAUUCUGUGGGUUGGUCCAUGGAGAUACCCAAUCACAGAUCGCCGUUUUCCUUUUUGAAAUUAGUAUAUUAGAGUGUAUAAAAGCUCGUGUGGCAUGAAAAACAGUUAAACAACUUCCAGUGACUCUGACCUGAACAUCAGGCCUGAACCCGCGAAGUAAGAAGGGCUCAAAGCAGGUCGUCACUAAGACCCGCCGGUAAAGGAGGAAGAAGCGCAGGAAGUCCAGGAAGGAGAGCUACGCUAUCUAUGUGUAUAAAGUGCUGAAGCAGGUUCAUCCUGACACCGGGAUCUCUUCUGAGGCGAUGGGCAUCAUGAACUCUUCGAGCGCAUCGCCGGUGAAUCGUCUCGUCUCGCUCACUACAACAAGCGCUCCACCAUCACAUCGAGAGAGAUCCAGACCGCCGUGCGUCUGCUGCUGCCGGGAGAACCGGAGAACCGGCCAAACACGCCGUGUCUGAGGCGCCAAGACUGUGACCAAAUACACUCAAAGUAAAGAUCAUCUGAUCUGAUCAGCGACCCAAAGGCUCUUUAGUUUUCUGAUUAUAGCUUUGUGUUUAGAAUGUUUGUGGCAUUUUACGAUGAAUGUGAUUUACUGAUGAAAUCACUGAAACAUUAAAACUAAGUUAUUUCAUUUAUUUU